GAUGAACGCUGGCGGCGUGCCUAAUACAUGCAAGUCGAGCGAACAGACGAGGAGCUUGCUCCUCUGACGUUAGCGGCGGACGGGUCAGUAACACGUGGAUAACCUACCUAUAAGACUGGGAUAACUUCGGGAAACCGGAGCUAAUACCGGAUAAUAUAUUGAACCGCAUGGUUCAAUAGUGAAAGACGGUUUUGCUGUCACUUAUAGAUGGAUCCGCGCCGCAUUAGCUAGUUGGUAAGGUAACGGCUUACCAAGGCAACGAUGCGUAGCCGACCUGAGAGGGUGAUCGGCCACACAGGAACUGAGACACGGUCCAGAAUCCUACGGGAGGCAGCAGGAGGGAAUCUUCCGCAAUGGGCGAAAGCCUGACGGUGCAACGCCGCGUGAGUGAUGAAGGUCUUCGGAUCGUAAAACUCUGUUAUUAGGGAAGAACAAAUGUGUAAGUAACGAUGCACGUCUUGACGGUACCUAAUCAGAAAGCCACGGCUGACUACGU
RNAcentral lists this ribosomal RNA (496 nucleotides) under uncultured bacterium. Its description in RNAcentral is "partial 16S ribosomal RNA". It matches the Rfam family "Bacterial small subunit ribosomal RNA", at positions 28 to 506 of the family's 1533-position model. The record is from RNAcentral.